GGAUAAAAGAGCACUUACCAACCAGUGUUUGUCAAAUUAGCAGUUGUUUAGUCCACAGAAUGACAAUGAGGACACUGAAAUGGCCAGCGUGGCAAACCACAUUCUUCGUCAGAGGAAAAGAACGGUUUCCUAGAAUCUAACUGUGAGAGAGCCGCUGUAACCAUACAGACACAGUACAGGAGGUAGCAGCAACAGAAAAACUGUGAAAGUAACCUAUAAAGGCUGAAAUGUGCCUUGUUGAGGGCUUUACUACAAAGUGUAAUGGUUGCAUUUCUCUGCAAUGUAAUACCAACUGCAGGAAGAUUAAAUUAGUAACAAACAG
Molecule: long non-coding RNA, 322 nt
Organism: Rhincodon typus (whale shark)
Lineage: Eukaryota; Metazoa; Chordata; Chondrichthyes; Orectolobiformes; Rhincodontidae
Exons: 2
Source: RefSeq, a predicted model, not a curated record